UCUGUUAAUGAUACAGCUUCUGGGCGACUUCAGCAAUAGAAAGCUUAGUGGACGUCUUAAUGCUCCUUUGGCGUCAUAGUAUAUUCUUAAUCGCAUUGUUUACUUAAGGCGGAAGUAUCUCGCUCCGUACCCUACGUGUAAGUCAAGAAGAACGUGAUAAAAUGGACUCAGGUAAAUUUUCUAGCUCUAGAAAUACUGGUCAUGGCCAAUUUAGGACAAGAUUUGCCAGAUGAGUAUCACCUGACCAACGUCGGCUCGUGCAAGUAAACGCGAAGGAACUUUGGUAGUCCUGCUAUAGCUAAAUGGCCAUUUUCAACCACUAAUAAUAAUCCGGAAGAAUUGAAAUGGAUGAAAGCUGCAUCUAGUUAAGAUUACAGAUUUCUCUUUGUACAGCGGAGUUGGCAAUUUGCCAUCGUGAAAUCUGAACCACAUACAUUCGGUUUAGCUGUGUUAGCAGCAAUUACUGUGGUUCGCAACACGUGCUUCCGUCGAAGAUGAGAUUUAAAAAUGUCGACUCGCUUGGAUCUUUGGCCAGUUAUUACCAGUUUACAUGAUUACGUUGGCAGAGAGAAAUCCCUAUGCAAGGAAGCUCUUGCAGACUCGUGGUCAAGUUUCAGGAUUUAGUUACCAGCUGAACGGGCUUAAGCCAAGCGAGUGAAGGAACGAUGCGCAAAAGGACUCAUUUAUUCCAUGGAACUUGACCAAGUUUCGAAUGCUAAUGGAGUUAUCUGAUGAACUGAGCAUAAUCACCAGGAAUCUGCAAAGAUAUGUAUCAUAUCAAGAUCUGUAACGGGCAGUAACGUUGGAAGCGGCUAGAAUAGCAGUAUAAUGCAUAUGCAGCAUCGUGAAGCAGCACGCGCCACGUCAGCCGACGCGAAAAGAACAAUACUCAGGUCUGAAAUAGCCAGCGAGAAGUUAUCCUCUUCUCAGUUCCCAAUAUUCUCAUCCUUAAAUUCACGAAUGCAUAGCAGGGCUUCACUCUGGGUCGCUCUCUAACGUUAUUGGUAACCAAGAGAGGCUGCUUACAUCGACAACGACGACUAGCACUUCUGGCAAACGGAAGCGCCCUGCCUGAACGACUAAACGAGUAAGGGGGCGAGUGGCCAAGCACCCGGCCGCCAGCCGCCUUCCUUCAACACCUUCACCAAUGGCAAAGCAAUUCUUCUUUCCAGUUGAGCCGCUAAUCAAGAUAGAAGAUGACUCUUUUAUAAAAAAGAGUCCCGUCUCAGUGACGUCACCUUUAACAGCCGUAUCACCGUGCGUAAACGUAAAUGCUCCGGAAGAGAUCAAAUAUUCAUGCAAGUAACCGAAUGAGCGUCUUCUUUACAAAAAAAAAAAAAAUAUGUACUUUACGUCCUUAAUAACAAACGGGUGAAGAGCGCGAGCAGUAAUCAGAAUGUUUUAGGCGAUACAGAUUCAAUUCGUUUUUGACGGUUUACAAGAUCUCAUCUUGUAAAAUGUGGUUUGACAAAGAUGAUGAUACUGUUUCGUCAACAAGUCAUUUACGGAUGCAUCCGCAAAAAUCAUUCCAGCCAAAGAACAGCAAUUAAUGUUCAUCUGACUGUUCUGUUAAAGGUAGGUAGGUUAUAUCACAUGCAACUGGGUUUAAUGUUGAAUUUCUAAUUAUUUUAUAAAUGGCCGGAAUAGCUGCACAUGAGAUAAAACGACGCAGGCCGCAGGCAGGCAUAGUCAAAUGAUUAUCAUACACGGGACUGAGCGCAGUCUUGAAGUCAGUGUGCGCGUGUCGGAACACCUGUUCCUGUUUACUCAGUCUGCUGUGUAAAUGAGCGUUCGUGAAUUUAUGUGAAGCGCACAUUUACUCGCAAUGUGGGAAACCGCCGUUGGCAUAAAGUCACAAAUAGACCCAUCCAGAGCUACGUUAGCUUUUAAUUGUGGCCAUUGUCUUUUGAAUAAGUAAUGAUUUACCUAUAGAAAAUUGGAAUCACUGCGCGAGGCAUAUACAGCCAAAAUGUAUCCUGUAUAACAAAACGGUCGUCCUAAACGUAACCACGUUGACCAAUUCUAGCUUGUUCUGCUUGUGUGUUGCUUUUGAAAUCACUUGGGUUUUUAAACGUGAUCUAUAUUAUCUCGUUUUUAUAUUAAUGAUAUCAUAGAAGAAAAGUGGCUUUUCGACAUUUCGUCGUAGAUUGCUUUUGCAAACUAUCAGACUUUUUAUAAGAUCUCAUCAGUUCAUCGAAAUUGAACAAGACAAAGUCAAUUCUCCCUUGCAGAAAUUUCCGUUUGUGUUUUAUUUUUUCUACUUUAUUUACUAAGAAGGACUAUUUUGACCCUCUCUGACCACAGAGUCGGAAUGCUGAGAUUCAGAUAUAUCGAACGCACAUCGGUCAGAUGAUAGCCGCUUAUUUAGACACGUAUUUAGGUGGAUGCUACUUAUGGAACGCUAAAAAUUACUAGCUCUAUAUGUAUGUAUAUAUAUUGACAAUUAGCGGAACGAAUUCUACUAAAAGUAUAGUAAUAUUUUCGUGUCGUUCUCAGGCGGUCUGAUGGAAACUCGAAACAAACAUUUCUGCAUAACCUUCGUUUAACCCAACUAUUUGAGAGACGCACGAACACCGUCAGUGAUGAUAGAUAUCAAUAAAUACAUUUUAGGUACAUGCUAUCCUGUAAAUUGCAAACGCGCUAGAGGCUUAUUGGUGCGUCUGGGCCAGUAUUGUGAAUCAUUUGUAACUCGAAUGGACCAGGUUGUUAAAUUUAUUCCCAAAUAUAAAAUAUAUUUCUUUAUUCACACAGGUUAGUAAGUAGCAUGCAACGCUGAUGGCAGUCUCUCUCAACCAAAGGUUUCAUCGUGCAAGCCGCCAUGGUAACAUUCCAAAACAUGUACAUGACUAAACGUAUCGUAUCUGUCUCAAGCGGCUAUGAAGCAUCAUAGAACAACGGUAAUAAAUGUAGAUACACUUUCUGUAAGUUAUCUAUACCGCUUUACGAUGCAAGAACGGGGUCUAAAUCGUCCGAGGAGAAAUCAUUAAAAGAGCUUUAUUAUAUGUUUAAAUGAUGUUCAUCCAUGCUUCUUCAUUCAUUCAUACACAGGCAAAAUAUUUUGUAAUGCAAUUACGCUUCUACAACAAAUUUCCUUCAACAAAUGCGCCUUGUGUUUGGAAAUCAAA
This 3125-nucleotide long non-coding RNA is filed under the name Varroa destructor (honeybee mite). Its description in RNAcentral is "uncharacterized LOC111245693, transcript variant X1". Lineage: Eukaryota; Metazoa; Arthropoda; Arachnida; Mesostigmata; Varroidae. The record is from RNAcentral.